AUCAUCAAAGAGACUGCUCUCAGUGAGUUCACUGUGGAAAGUGUUUUCAGGAUUAAGCACGCCUCCUUUUUACGUCUCCGAUUCUACCUCCCCUGUGAGAUGCUCUUCACCUGCCUCCUCCUCUGACUCCAAUCUAUCAAAGUAAAGAUCUUCAGGAUCAAUGGAUGGAUGAACACCUUUCUGAUUUGAACAGUAUUUAGAGGCUAGAUGGGAAGAGCAAUCAUCAAUGUCUUCUUCAGGACCAGAGACAGCCCUACUGCCCUGAAAACCAUUCAAAUGAAGCCAUGCUCAGAACAUGUCUGCCUUCUUUAUCCCUCCUUCCUGCAGUGAGCCUUGCCUCUUCUGGUCACCAUAUCUAGCUGACAGAGGUGACAGGACUAAGCUAAAGAGAUUUUGCAAUCCCAAAGACUCUUGCUGAAGACUUUGGCUACAUCCUCAGCAGUGUAAGACAAGCCUCUGAGACCUACUAAAAGCCUGGCAGGGCAAAUGUUUCCAGCAUCUCCAACUCAUGGGUUGACAAGAAUAUUAAUUUAAAAACGUGUGCAGUUUCUACCAAGCAAACAGACAAUGCCAACAAUUUGGGUGAAGUUGUGAAAUGGAAGAUGUCUGUUAUAUUGUUCUUCGACUCUCCUUAUUUUAGAUUGUUGUUUCUAAGGUGAAAUCAUCCAGGUCUAUCUGCCUCAAUUGGGUCUAACUAUAUGCUCCAGUGCAGGGAGUUUUCACAAACAUAUUCAGCUUUGCUGUAAUUAGGGGAGCAUGAUGGUGCUGCUGCUGGUUCUGCCACAUAGUGAGCCUGUGCAUCCUUUCCACGGGGCUGUUGUUCUAAAGAAAGAGUGCGGAGAGGACACUGUUCAUUCUGAAAAGGCAUCUGAAAUGAUGAUCUAACACCUGAAACUCUGGGAAAAGUUGUGAUUUCUCAGCUCUAGUGAGAUUGUCUUAUGGGAGAAGUUCUGCACAGUACAAGUUCAAGGAACCUAGUGAUAUGAUUUAGAAGCAAUCCUCCAGGUCAGAGACACUGCUAAAUCAGAAUGUGGCAAGGGAGAAGCUGGAAGAUCUGGAACAGUUAGACCUUUUGUCUACAAAUCAACACUGUGAUCCUCUGCAAUUCAACCUUAACACCAAGCCUACUGUCCAGCCUAGGAGAAAAUGUUCUGAGAGACAGAACUGCUCGGUGCUAGGGCAGGUGUUUGAAGGAUUCUUUGCUGUACUGUGGGUACCUGUCUCAGGGGCAAGACUUCAGCCCUGGUUGCUUGUAUUACCCUGUACACUGGAGAAGUACCUAGGCAAACAAACGCUGAUGGAACAACUCCAGAAAAGAAACUUUGGAAAAGUUCUAAGGGGCCAUGACAGAACUUCUCUGGAUCCUAAAUGUCUGAAAGACUUGGACUGUUACUGAAAGAGCAUGACUUAUGUCCUGGAAUUGAUGAUGCCUUCAUGUAGGAGGAAUAUAAGAGGGCACUAAGGUUAUAGAACAGACGCCGAAAUAGUCACGUCUUCAGUGCUUCCUAGACUCCUACAUUUGCCAUCGUAUGUCUAGUUAGUAUGACUUUUCGUCUUUUUGUAAAAUAGUUUUGUUUAAUACAGAGAUGAUUACAUAAUAAUAGCUAAAAUUACUUGUUCAUAAUAGGUGUUCGAUGA
RNAcentral lists this long non-coding RNA (1638 nucleotides) under Mus spicilegus (steppe mouse). Its description in RNAcentral is "lncRNA (ENSMSIG00000006146.1)". Lineage: Eukaryota; Metazoa; Chordata; Mammalia; Rodentia; Muridae. The record is from RNAcentral.